RNAcentral lists this ribosomal RNA (548 nucleotides) under uncultured prokaryote. RNAcentral describes it as "bacterial SSU rRNA". It matches the Rfam family "Bacterial small subunit ribosomal RNA", at positions 355 to 896 of the family's 1533-position model. The record is from RNAcentral.
UGGGGAAUUUUGGACAAUGGACGAAAGUCUGAUCCAGCCAUUCCGCGUGCAGGACGAAGGCCUUCGGGUUGUAAACUGCUUUUGUACGGAACGAAAAAGCCUUGGCUAAUACCCGGGGUCCAUGACGGUACCGUAAGAAUAAGCACCGGCUAACUACGUGCCAGCAGCCGCGGUAAUACGUAGGGUGCGAGCGUUAAUCGGAAUUACUGGGCGUAAAGCGUGCGCAGGCGGUUUUGUAAGACAGAGGUGAAAUCCCCGGGCUCAACCUGGGAACUGCCUUUGUGACUGCAAGGCUAGAGUGCGGCAGAGGGGGAUGGAAUUCCGCGUGUAGCAGUGAAAUGCGUAGAUAUGCGGAGGAACACCGAUGGCGAAGGCAAUCCCCUGGGCCUGCACUGACGCUCAUGCACGAAAGCGUGGGGAGCAAACAGGAUUAGAUACCCUGGUAGUCCACGCCCUAAACGAUGUCAACUGGUUGUUGGGUCUUUGCUGACUCAGUAACGAAGCUAACGCGUGAAGUUGACCGCCUGGGGAGUACGGCCGCAAGGUUG